This 2150-nucleotide ribosomal RNA is filed under the name Plasmodium falciparum NF54. Its description in RNAcentral is "SSU rRNA". It matches the Rfam family "Eukaryotic small subunit ribosomal RNA". RNAcentral also lists the same sequence under 1 other name. The record is from RNAcentral. Lineage: Eukaryota; Apicomplexa; Aconoidasida; Haemosporida; Plasmodiidae.
AACCUGGUUGAUCUUGCCAGUAGUCAUAUGCUUGUCUCACAGAUUAAGCCAUGCAAGUGAAAGUACAUAUGUAAAUAAUAUAUUGAAACUGCGAACGGCUCAUUAAAACAGUUAUAAUCUACUUGAUGUUUUUAAUAUAAGGAUAACUACGGAAAAUCUGUAGCUAAUACUUGUGAAAAUACCUUUUGAUAUAUACAUAUGUAUGUAUCAUUAAGGUAUGUAUUUGUUAGAUAUAAGAAUAAAAUAAAUAUAAUUGAAUUAUAACAAAGAAGAAACACAUAAAAUAUGUGUAUUAUCAAUCGAGUAUCUGACCUAUCAGCUUUUGAUGUUAGGGUAUUGACCUAACAUGGCUAUGACGGGUAACGGGGAAUUAGAGUUCGAUUCCGGAGAGGGAGCCUGAGAAAUAGCUACCACAUCUAAGGAAGGCAGCAGGCGCGUAAAUUACCCAAUUCUAAAAAAGAGAGGUAGUGACAAGAAAUAACAAUACAAUAUCGAAAAAUGAUUUUGUAAUUGGAAUGAUAGGAAUUUACAAGGUUCCUAGAGAAACAAUUGGAGGGCAAGUCUGGUGCCAGCAGCCGCGGUAAUUCCAGCUCCAAUAGCAUAUAUUAAAAUUGUUGCAGUUAAAACGUUCGUAGUUGAAUAUUAAAGAAUCCGAUGUUUCAUUUAAACUGGUUUGGGAAAACCAAAUAUAUUAUAUAUUUUGCUUUGUUCAAAAUAAGGUUUUCUAAUAAAUUAUGUUUUUAUCAGAUAUGACAGAAUCUUUUUUAAAAUCUCUUCAAUAUGCUUUUAUUGCUUUUGAGAGGUUUUGUUACUUUGAGUAAAAUUAAGUGUUCAUAACAGACGGGUAGUCAUGAUUGAGUUCAUUGUGUUUGAAUACUACAGCAUGGAAUAACAAAUAUGAAUAAGCUAAUUAUUUUUUUUUUUCAUAAUUUUUUUUGAUAUUCUUAUUAGCUUAGUUACGAUUAAUAGGAGUAGCUUUGGGGGCAUUCGUAUUCAGAUGUCAGAGGUGAAAUUCUAAGAUUUUCUGGAGACGGACUACUGCGAAAGCAUUUGCCUAAUCUAUUUCCAUUAAUCAAGAACGAAAGUUAAGGGAGUGAAGACGAUCAGAUACCGUCGUAAUCUUAACCAUAAACUAUACCGACUAGGUGUUGGAUGAAUAUAAAAAAUAUAUAAAUAUGUAGCAUUUCUUAGGGAAUGUUGAUUUUAUAUUAGAAUUGCUUCCUUCAGUACCUUAUGAGAAAUCAAAGUCUUUGGGUUCUGGGGCGAGUAUUCGCGCAAGCGAGAAAGUUAAAAGAAUUGACGGAAGGGCACCACCAGGCGUGGAGCUUGCGGCUUAAUUUGACUCAACACGGGAAAACUCACUAGUUUAAGACAAGAGUAGGAUUGACAGAUUAAUAGCUCUUUCUUGAUUUCUUGGAUGGUGAUGCAUGGCCGUUUUUAGUUCGUGAAUAUGAUUUGUCUGGUUAAUUCCGAUAACGAACGAGAUCUUAACCUGCUAAUUAGCGGUAAGUACACUAUAUUUUUAUUUGAAAUUGAAUAUAGGUAAUUAUACAUGUUUAUUCAGUGUUCAAAUUAGGAUAUUUUUUUAUUAAAAUAUUCUUUUCCCUGUUCUACUAUAAUAAUUUGUUUUUUUUUACUCUAUUUCUCUCUUCUUUUAAGAAUGUACUUGUUUGAUUAAAUAAAGCUUCUUAGAGGAACAGUGUGUAUCUAACACAAGGAAGUUUAAGGCAACAACAGGUCUGUGAUGUCCUUAGAUAAACUAGGCUGCACGCGUGCUACAAUGAUAUAUAUAACAAGUUGUUAAAAAUGUACUUAUAAAUAAGUGUGUACAGUUUUUCCUGUACUGAAAAGUAUAGGUAAUCUUUAUCAGUAUAUAUCGUAAUUGGGAUAGAUUAUUGCAAUUAUUAAUCUUGAACGAGGAAUGCCUAGUAAGCAUGAUUCAUUAGAUUGUGCUGACUACGUCCCUGCCCUUUGUACACACCGCCCGUCGCUCCUACCGAUUGAAAGAUAUGAUGAAUUGUUUGGAUAUGAAUUAAAAUAAUGAAAUUUUAUAUUUCUGAUUUUUUCUAGAAGAACUGUAAAUCCUAUCUUUUAAAGGAAGGAGAAGUCGUAACAAGGUUUCCGUAGGUGAACCUGCGGAAGGAUCAUUA